Molecule: ribosomal RNA, 268 nt
Filed under: uncultured bacterium
Lineage: Bacteria
Description: partial 16S ribosomal RNA
Rfam family: Bacterial small subunit ribosomal RNA
Source: RNAcentral
ACUUCGGUUGAUUGUUUGCGCUGGUUAGUGGCAGACGGGUGAGUAACGCAAGGGUAAUUUGCCCCUAAGCCUGGGAUAACAUCUCGAAAGGAAUGCUAAUACCGGAUAUUCUUUUCUUUCGCAUGGUUGAAAAGGAAAGCUCAGGCGCUUAGGGAGAGCCCUUGUCUGAUUAGUUUGUUGGUGGGGUAAUGGCCUACCAAGGCUACGAUCAGUAGCUGGUCUGAGAGGAUGAUCAGCCACACUGGAACUGAGACACGGUCCAGACUCC